RNAcentral lists this ribosomal RNA (274 nucleotides) under uncultured bacterium. RNAcentral describes it as "partial 16S ribosomal RNA". It matches the Rfam family "Bacterial small subunit ribosomal RNA", at positions 523 to 796 of the family's 1533-position model. The record is from RNAcentral.
AUACGGAUGGUGCGAGCGUUGUUCGGAAUUACUGGGCGUAAAGGGCGCGUAGGCGGCGAUGUAAGUCAAAUGUGAAAGUCCUCGGCUUAACCGGGGAAGUGCAUCUGAAACUGCAUUGCUUGAGUAUGGGAGAGGAAAGUGGAAUUCCCGGUGUAGAGGUGAAAUUCGUAGAGAUCGGGAGGAAUACCGGUGGCGAAGGCGACUUUCUGGACCAAUACUGACGCUGAGGCGCGAAAGCGUGGGGAGCAAACAGGAUUAGAAACCCCUGUAGUCC